CCGGUCGGGUAAAACGGCGCCAUAUUAACCUUUAAAUCUAAACCUUAACGGUUUUCUUUGUUGUGGCGCGGAGGAUACGUGAUGAAAACUUUGUGUUUUAACAAAAAUCAAUUA
Salarias fasciatus (jewelled blenny) is the source of this 114-nucleotide long non-coding RNA. RefSeq lists it as uncharacterized. The record is from RefSeq and is a predicted model, not a curated record. NCBI's taxonomy places the organism in Eukaryota, Metazoa, Chordata, Actinopteri, Blenniiformes, Blenniidae. The transcript has 4 exons.